UACAGAGGGUGCGAGCGUUGUCCGGAAUUAUUGGGCGUAAAGGGCUCGUAGGCGGUUUGUCGCGUCGGGAGUGAAAACCUUGGGCUUAACUCAGGGCUUGCUUUCGAUACGGGCAGACUAGAGGUAUGCAGGGGAGAACGGAAUUCCUGGUGUAGCGGUGAAAUGCGCAGAUAUCAGGAGGAACACCGGUGGCGAAGGCGGUUCUCUGGGCAUGAUCUGACGCUGAGGAGCGAAAGUGUGGGGAGCGAACAGG
Molecule: ribosomal RNA, 253 nt
Filed under: uncultured bacterium
Lineage: Bacteria
Description: partial 16S ribosomal RNA
Rfam family: Bacterial small subunit ribosomal RNA
Source: RNAcentral